GAGGCAUCCACUGGAGGGCAGUGUGGCAACUCGGAAGCGCUCUGAGAAGAGGUCGCAGAAGGGCUUCCCAUCCUCUCUCCCGUUGGCCCUCUGUCCGUGCCAGGGAUUGAACCUAGGGCCUCACACAUACUAGAGUGCCUGCUCCUGUUCCUGAGAAGGGAGGUGAUGGAGUUACUGAGGAAGAACCCUUCUACCCUGCAUGCCUACCUUAUAUACGGAAGCUGCUACAGAACAUAAUAAGCAGAACCGCACAUGCUGACAGAUUCCCCAGAACGCACUGCCAUGAAGACACCUAUCUACCUAGGGUCUACACUGGAAGAGACACCAAAGAGACAUUGUCAGAAUUUGCUUGCACAGGAGAAAGAAGAAGAAAAGUCAGAUAAGGUUUUAAAAUUUGGAUGAGUAAGCUGUGACCUUAGCAAGUGAUUAAUCUUUCUGAGCCUCAGUUUCUUUCUGCAUCACUGCAUAUUGUGAAGAUCUCAGUGAAUGCUAGCUUCCCCUUUGUUGGAAAUGGAAGGCAGGGGGGAUAGAGAGGACUGGCAGGCCUGUCAGAUUGAAGAGGGAGGUCCUGGGAGAGAACAACAGAGGACCAGCAGGCUAACCAGAUUGUAAGCGGGUGGGGACAUCCCUUUGCCCAGUCCUCUCUUCUCCAGAGGGUGUGGCCCUCAUAGAUCUUUCCUUCCCAGCCCCGCUGACCCAGCGACUGGCUGGCAGUCUUGGAGGCAUGGGCCCAGCUGGUGAGCAGGAGCCUUGGAGAAGGGGAGGUGGUGGCAAGGGAGUUCAUGGCACCCUUCAAAUGUGUGGGGCACAGCAGUAGGAAGAGUACUAUCCUCCUUGACCCUCAUCCCCAGUCCAGCAUCUCCUUUAGACCUGUUUCCCUGGGUUCUUCCCAAACUCUUUGCAGAUUCCCCUUGGCUCCCUCCUGGCUGCUCCAACUCACAUGUGCUGCUUUCGAAUAAAGGAACUUGGAACCAC
Non-coding RNA from Ictidomys tridecemlineatus (thirteen-lined ground squirrel), 975 nucleotides. Lineage: Eukaryota; Metazoa; Chordata; Mammalia; Rodentia; Sciuridae. The record is from RefSeq and is a predicted model, not a curated record.